RNAcentral lists this transfer RNA (72 nucleotides) under Pseudomonadota bacterium. RNAcentral describes it as "tRNA-Glu". It matches the Rfam family "tRNA". Rfam says of the family: Transfer RNA (tRNA) molecules are approximately 80 nucleotides in length. Lineage: Bacteria; Pseudomonadati; Pseudomonadota. RNAcentral also lists the same sequence under 1 other name. The record is from RNAcentral.
GCUCCCAUCGUCUAGUGGUUAGGACGCCACUCUUUCAAGGUGGAAACCGGGGUUCGACUCCCCGUGGGAGCA